CAUUUUCUAAUAAUUAUCACUCACGAAUUCGAAUUCUACAACAAAAUCCAUCUAUCAAUUUUUUAAAAUACAAAUUUAUAUUGCCUUUGAAUAGAUCAACAAAUCGACAAUACGUGAAGAACAUACACAAUGGCCGAAAAAAAGUUAAACUGGAGAGUAUAUAGUAGGUCUAUAUAUAUUCCAGUAUCCAAUUUGAAAAUGUAUUCGAAAUUACCAAGAGUAUUCACAAAGAAAAUAACUAAGAUGAUGAUGUAGGAACUCGAGAAAGUCAGAACCCAAAACCACCAAUCGCUGACGCCAAGGUCGAAUAUGGUCCAUAUAUUUUCCAGUAUCCAAUUUGAAAAUGUAUUCGAAAUUACCAAGAGUAUGCACAAAAAAAAUAACUAAGAUGAUGAUGUAGGAACUCGAGUAUGUCAGGGUUCUCUCCACAAAUCGACAAACUUAGUCAAGACAACCGAAUGAUGGGUGGAACAUACUUUGAAGUUCCAAUGAAUUAUUAUGUGGACUCGGUCCUCAAAGUGGAAGCAUGAUACGAAUAAAAAAGGUUUGCCAUUGCAUCAUGGAAAGACAUAUGAUCCAACAACGAGUCGAAAUUAUUAAAAUUUAGUAUCGAAAUUCGGAGUCAGUGGCCUUCUACGUAGCGAUGAGGCGCAUUUCUGGCUGAAUGGCUUCGUCAAUAAGCAAAAUAUGAGUUAGUGGUCAGACAGCAAUCCACACAUACUCCAUGAGUCACCACUGCAUUCCGAAAAAAAUAUAGUUGGUGCGGUUUAUGGGCCCGCGGCGUCAUUGGGCGCCCUUCUUCCGUGAUAAUCAAGCUCGAAUUGGAUAAUAUGGACUUGAACAAUGUGUGGUUCCAACAGGACAACGCCACAAGCCACAUAGCGCAUGUCACAAUCGAUUUAUUGAAAACUAAGUUUGGUGAAUGUGCUAUCUCACGAAAUGACCUAGUCAACUGGCCGCCUCGGUCGUGCGAUUUGACAUCGUUAGGCUAUUUCCUAUGGGGUUACGUCAAGUCUAUGGUCUAUGCCAACAAGCCAAACUUUAGGUAUCUUAUUAAAAAACACUUGACAUAUGUAUGUAUUUAUGAAUGAACAUUAUUUAUUUGUAGAUUGCAAGAAUUUGUUACUUCAGCAAACUCUACUUUUUUUACUGUUAACUAAAUUGCAUAUAAAAUAUAUAUUGGAUAUCGGAUUGUACGUUGAUAUGAUAUGUUUUUGGUUGUAUGAAAUUGUGCGGGAUGACUUAUGGAACUCCUCCAUCUAUGUUUUCUGCAGCAACAUGUAUCUAUAGAGACCACUUCUUUACCGGCAUUUUACUCAAUUACAAGCA
Long non-coding RNA from Zeugodacus cucurbitae (melon fly), 1329 nucleotides. RefSeq lists it as uncharacterized. The transcript has 2 exons. Lineage: Eukaryota; Metazoa; Arthropoda; Insecta; Diptera; Tephritidae. The record is from RefSeq and is a predicted model, not a curated record.